UUUCUUGGCCACAAAGCAGCAAUAUGGAGGUCAGAAGUAUACUCAAGCAAAUAAGAGAUGAAGUUUUGAGGGAAAGAGAAACACAGUGGUAUGUUCGUAUUGUAAGAAGCCUGGACAUUCAGUAGAGAAAUGAUACAGAAUCAUUGGAUUUCCUGCAGAUUUUAAAUUCACUAAAACAAAAGGUUUCAAGGAGGUGUCUAGGGAUAUGCAGCAGCCACAACAGAUCCUAAUUCUGAACAGUCAAUCUAUGGUUUGGAGAAAGGAUUCACUCAAGAUCAAUAUCACACUCUAUGUCAGCUGCUUCAACAAGCUAAAUUCACACCACAAGGAGACAUCAGCUCAGAAGUGAAUGUGACUGCAAAUUGUGUAGGCCCCUUCAAUGAAGAGGCCAGUGGUUCUUGGUAAAGAGAAACAAGGGAUUUAUUUACUCCACACCAUCAAGCCUAGUAGCAGUUUGAUUGAUUCCAAAAAGGACUAUUGUCCAAUUUUUUCAGCUUCUAAGAAGGACUACUGUCCAGUUCUCUCUAAGUAUGUUAGGGAUAGUGUUAAGUCUUUAGUUUCAAUUUCAUGUUGUUCUUCAUUUUCAAAUGAUGUAAGCCUAUGGCACUUAAGGUUAGGGCAUUUGCCUUAUUCAAAUAUGAGAAAUAUCUCUUCUAUUUC
Long non-coding RNA from Nicotiana tabacum (common tobacco), 660 nucleotides. RefSeq lists it as uncharacterized. NCBI's taxonomy places the organism in Eukaryota, Viridiplantae, Streptophyta, Magnoliopsida, Solanales, Solanaceae. The record is from RefSeq and is a predicted model, not a curated record.